Molecule: ribosomal RNA, 496 nt
Filed under: uncultured bacterium
Lineage: Bacteria
Description: partial 16S ribosomal RNA
Rfam family: Bacterial small subunit ribosomal RNA
Source: RNAcentral
GAUGAACGCUGGCGGCGUGCCUAAUACAUGCAAGUCGAGCGAACAGACGAGGAGCUUGCUCCUUCGACGUUAGCGGCGGACGGGUGAGUAACACGUAGGUAACCUACCUAUAAGACUGGGAUAACUUCGGGAAACCGGAGCUAAUACCGGAUAAUAUUUCGAACCGCAUGGUUCGAUAGUGAAAGAUGGCUUUGCUAUCACUUAUAGAUGGACCUGCGCCGUAUUAGCUAGUUGGUAAGGUAACGGCUUACCAAGGCAACGAUACGUAGCCGACCUGAGAGGGUGAUCGGCCACACUGGAACUGAGACCCGGUCCAGACUCCUACGGGAGGCAGCAGUAGGGAAUCUUCCGCAAUGGGCGAAAGCCUGACGGAGCAACGCCGCGUGAGUGAUGAAGGUCUUCGGAUCGUAAAACUCUGUUAUUAGGGAAGAACAAACGUGUAAGUAACUGUGCACGUCUUGACGGUACCUAAUCAGAAAGCCACGGCUAACUACGU